GAUGAACGCUGGCGGCGUGCCUAAUACAUGCAAGUCGAGCGAACGGACGAGAAGUUUGUUUCUCUGAUGUUAUCCGCGGAGGGGUGAGUAACACGUGGAAAACCUAUCUUUAAGACUGGGAUAACUUCGGGAAACCGGAUCUAAUCCCGUAUAAUAUUUUGAACCGUAUGGUUCAAAAGUGAAAUACGGUCUUGUCGUUACUUAUAGAUGGUUCCACGCUGCAUUAGCUAGUUGGUAGGGUAACGGCUUACCAAGGCAACGAACCAUAGCCGACCUGAGAGGGUGAUCGGCCACACUGGAACUGAAACACGGUCAAGACUCCUACGGGAGGAGGCAGUAGGGAAUCUUCCGAAAUGAGCGAAAGCCUAACGGGGAAACGCGGGGUGAGUGAUGAAGGUCUUGGGAUCGAAAAACCCUGUUAUUAGGGAAGAACAGAUGUGUAAGUAACUGUGCACAUCGUGACGGUACCUAAUCAGAAAGCCACGGCUAACUACGUG
Molecule: ribosomal RNA, 497 nt
Filed under: uncultured bacterium
Lineage: Bacteria
Description: partial 16S ribosomal RNA
Rfam family: Bacterial small subunit ribosomal RNA
Source: RNAcentral